Molecule: ribosomal RNA, 373 nt
Filed under: uncultured organism
Description: partial 16S ribosomal RNA
Rfam family: Bacterial small subunit ribosomal RNA
Source: RNAcentral
GUAGGUGGCAAGCGUUGUCCGGAAUUAUUGGGCGUAAAGCGCGCGCAGGCGGUCCUUUAAGUCUGAUGUGAAAGCCCACGGCUCAACCGUGGAGGGUCAUUGGAAACUGGGGGACUUGAGUACAGAAGAGGAAAGCGGAAUUCCAAGUGUAGCAGUGAAAUGCGUAGAGAUUUGGAGGAACACCAGUGGCGAAGGCGGCUUUCUGGUCUGUAACUGACGCUGAGGCGCGAAAGCGUGGGGAGCAAACAGGGAUUAGAUACCCUGGUAGUCCACGCCGUAAACGAUGAGUGCUAAGUGUUAGGGGGUUUCCCGCCCCUUAGUGCUGCAGCUAACGCAUUAAGCACUCCGCCUGGGGAGUACGGCCGCAAGGCUG